This 433-nucleotide ribosomal RNA is filed under the name uncultured bacterium. RNAcentral's name for it is "partial 16S ribosomal RNA". It matches the Rfam family "Bacterial small subunit ribosomal RNA", at positions 29 to 507 of the family's 1533-position model. The record is from RNAcentral.
AACGAACGCUGGCGGCAUGCCUAACACAUGCAAGUCGAACGAGACCUUCGGGUAUAGUGGCGCACGGGUGCGUAACGCGUGGGAACCUGCCCUUAGGUUCGGAAUAACUCCCCGAAAGGGGUGCUAAUACCGGAUAAUGUCUUCGGACCAAAGAUUUAUCGCCUUUGGAUGGGCCCGCGUUGGAUUAGCUAGUUGGUAGGGUAAAAGCCUACCAAGGCGACGAUCCAUAGCUGGUCUGAGAGGAUGAUCAGCCACACUGGGACUGAGACACGGCCCAGACUCCUACGGGAGGCAGCAGUGGGGAAUAUUGGACGAUGGGCGAAAGCCUGAUCCAGCAAGGCCGCGUGAGUGAUGAAGGCCUUAGGGUUGUAAAGCUCUUUUACCCGGGAUGAUAAUGACAGUACCGGGAGAAUAAGCUCCGGCUAACUCCGUG